This 142-nucleotide ribosomal RNA is filed under the name uncultured bacterium. RNAcentral's name for it is "partial 16S ribosomal RNA". It matches the Rfam family "Bacterial small subunit ribosomal RNA", at positions 387 to 524 of the family's 1533-position model. The record is from RNAcentral.
ACGAGCACGCCGCGUGAGUGUGAAGGUUUUCGGAUCGUAAACUCUGUUGUUAGAGAAGAACAAGGAUGAGAGUAACUGUUCAUCCCUUGACGGUAUCUAACCAGAAAGCCACGGCUAACUACGUGCCAGCAGCCGCGGUAAU